RNAcentral lists this ribosomal RNA (253 nucleotides) under uncultured bacterium. RNAcentral's name for it is "partial 16S ribosomal RNA". It matches the Rfam family "Bacterial small subunit ribosomal RNA", at positions 524 to 776 of the family's 1533-position model. The record is from RNAcentral.
UACGUAGGGAGCGAGCGUUAUCCGGAUUUAUUGGGUGUAAAGGGUGCGUAGACGGGCAUACAAGUUAGUUGUGAAAUCCCUCGGCUUAACUGAGGAACUGCAACUAAAACUGUAAGUCUUGAGUGCAGGAGAGGUAAGUGGAAUUCCUAGUGUAGCGGUGAAAUGCGUAGAUAUUAGGAGGAACACCAGUGGCGAAGGCGACUUACUGGACUGUAACUGACGUUGAGGCACGAAAGUGUGGGGAGCAAACAGG